GAAAUGCGAUAAGUAAUGUGAAUUGCAGAAUUCAGUGAAUCAUCGAAUCUUUGAACGCACAUUGCGCCCCUUGGUAUUCCGGGGGGCAUGCCUGUUCGAGCGUCAUUACAACCCUCAAGCUCUGCUUGGAAUUGGGCACCGUCCUCACUGCGGACGCGCCUCAAAGACCUCGGCGGUGGCUGUUCAGCCCUCAAGCGUAGUAGAAUACACCUCGCUUUGGAGCGGUUGGCGUCGCCCGCUGGACGAACCUUCUGAACUUUUCUCAAGGUUGACCUCGGAUCAGGUAGGGAUACCCGCUGAACUUAAGA
Molecule: unclassified non-coding RNA, 308 nt
Filed under: plant metagenome
Description: partial contains 5.8S ribosomal RNA, internal transcribed spacer 2, and large subunit ribosomal RNA
Rfam family: 5.8S ribosomal RNA (bases 1-105)
Source: RNAcentral